This 283-nucleotide ribosomal RNA is filed under the name uncultured bacterium. RNAcentral's name for it is "partial 16S ribosomal RNA". It matches the Rfam family "Bacterial small subunit ribosomal RNA", at positions 355 to 630 of the family's 1533-position model. The record is from RNAcentral.
UGGGGAAUAUUGCACAAUGGGCGCAAGCCUGAUGCAGCCAUGCCGCGUGUGUGAAGAAGGCCUUCGGGUUGUAAAGCACUUUCAGCGAGGAGGAAGGGUAGUGUGUUAAUAGCACAUUGCAUUGACGUUACUCGCAGAAGAAGCACCGGCUAACUCCGUGCCAGCAGCCGCGGUAAUACGGAGGGUGCAAGCGUUAAUCGGAAUUACUGGGCGUAAAGCGCACGCAGGCGGUUUGUUAAGUCAGAUGUGAAAUCCCCGCGCUUAACGUGGGAACUGCAUUUGA